GACGUAGGGUCCAAGCAUUAUCCGGAAUUAUUGGGCGUAAAGGGUGCGUAGGUGGUCGUGUGUGUCUUUGGUUAAAGACCCGAGCUUAACUCGGGGAGUGCCAGGGAAACUACAUGACUAAGAGGCCAGCAGGGGCAAGUGGAAUUCCCGGUGUAGGAGUGAAAUCCGUUGAUAUCGGGAGGAACACCAGUGGCGAAGGCGGCUUGCUAGGUUGGAUCUGACACUGAAGCACGAAAGCGUGGGGAGCGAAAGGG
This 254-nucleotide ribosomal RNA is filed under the name uncultured bacterium. RNAcentral describes it as "partial 16S ribosomal RNA". It matches the Rfam family "Bacterial small subunit ribosomal RNA", at positions 524 to 776 of the family's 1533-position model. The record is from RNAcentral.